GAUGAACGCUGGCGGCGUGCCUAAUACAUGCAAGUCGAGCGAACAGACGAGGAGCUUGCUCCUCUGACGUUAGCGGCGGACGGGUGAGUAACACGUGGAUAACCUACCUAUAAGACUGGGAUAACUUCGGGAAACCGGAGCUAAUACCGGAUAAUAUAUUGAACCGCAUGGUUCAAUAGUUAAAGACGGUUUUGCUGUCACUUAUAGAUGGAUCCGCGCCGCAUUAGCUAGUUGGUAAGGUAACGGCUUACCAAGGCAACGAUGCGUAGCCGACCUGAGAGGGUGGUCGGCCACACUAGAACUGAGCCACGGUCCAGACUACUAUGGGAGGCAGCAGUAGGGAAUCUUCCGCAAUGGGCGAAAGCCGGACGGAGCAACGCCGCGUGAGUGAUGAAGGUCUUCGGAUCGUAAAACUCUGUUAUUAGGGAAGAACAAAUGUGUAAGUAACUAUGCACGUCUUGACGGUACCGAAUCAGAAAGCCACGGCUAACUACGUG
This 497-nucleotide ribosomal RNA is filed under the name uncultured bacterium. Its description in RNAcentral is "partial 16S ribosomal RNA". It matches the Rfam family "Bacterial small subunit ribosomal RNA", at positions 28 to 507 of the family's 1533-position model. The record is from RNAcentral.